Molecule: ribosomal RNA, 161 nt
Filed under: Crepidiastrum sonchifolium
Lineage: Eukaryota; Viridiplantae; Streptophyta; Magnoliopsida; Asterales; Asteraceae
Description: 5.8S rRNA
Rfam family: 5.8S ribosomal RNA
About the family: 5.8S ribosomal RNA (5.8S rRNA) is a component of the large subunit of the eukaryotic ribosome. It is transcribed by RNA polymerase I as part of the 45S precursor that also contains 18S and 28S rRNA. Functionally, it is thought that 5.8S rRNA may be involved in ribosome translocation.
Source: RNAcentral
CAUAACGACUCUCGGCAACGGAUAUCUCGGCUCACGCAUCGAUGAAGAACGUAGCAAAAUGCGAUACUUGGUGUGAAUUGCAGAAUCCCGUGAACCAUCGAGUUUUUGAACGCAAGUUGCGCCCAAAGCCAUCCGGUUGAGGGCACGCCUGCCUGGGCGUC